AUGGCUGGAGUGGUGCGCCUGUGGAAUGAUUGGGAGGUCCAAGUCCUAGUGCUUUUUAGCUUUGUGUUGCAAGUGUUCUUGCUCAUGUUUGCUAGAACGCGACGGCGGAACAUCUCCAUCGUCCCAAGGACCCUGCUCUGGCUAGCAUACCUGCUGGCUGACUCCAUAGAGAUAUACAUCCUUGGCCACAUGUCCUUCUGUAGUAAGUCCCAUGAGUACCAACAGCUUGCGGCGUUCUGGACGCCGUUCCUGUUGGUGCAUCUCGGUGGCCAGGACACUGUCACUGCCUAUGCCAUGGAAGACAACCAUCUAUGGCCACGCCACCUACUCUCUCUGGUUGUGCAGGCCUUUGGAGUAGCUUAUGUCUUGUACAAGUAUACGGCAGGCAGCUGGACCAUGGUCACAGGCGGGGUGUUGAUAUUUGUCGCUGGUAUUCUCAAGUAUGGGGAGAGAGUAUGGGCGCUUAAGUCAGCUAACCUGGAGAACAUCAGUAACCUCCUUGAAAGUAGGAAGUUUAGAGAGGCUCAACAACAAGAUCAAAUAGCGCCUUACCGCCCGCAUGAAUUGUGGGACCAGGCAGAGGGGUUGGGUUUUGAAGAGGUUCUACAGGGAGCUCAUGACCUGCUCCCCAUUUGCAUGGGUCAGUUCAUGGAUUAUAAGUUCUGGCCGUCCCCAUUCCAGAGUAAAGCCAUAAGGGUAGUAGUUGAUAAGGGAUGUGCGUGUGAGUUGAUUGAGAUGCAGCUGUCUUUGAUGCAUGAUGUUUUGUACACCAAGGCAACCGUGAUCCACACAUGGCGGGGAUGCUUCAUCCGUGUUGUUUCAUUGGUUGCCAUCAUCACCACAUUCUUCCUCUUUCGAUCCAGCAAUGGUACAAAUGAUUUCGGAAGAGUUGAUGUCAUCGUCACGUACAUCUUACUGGGUGGGGCUUUCCUCCUAGAGACAGCAUCAGUGUUGAGGGCGAUUGGAUCAACAUGGAUGUGUGCAUUGUUGCGUGCUGGAAGAUGGGAUUGGCUCCAUAGCAUAAUCAUAUCUGCUCGGCGGCAUGUCAAGGCAGCAGAAAGAAGUAGAAGAUGGUUAGGUUCCAUUGGACAGUACAAGUUAAUGCUGCUGGAGGUGGAUGGGUCAACCGUUCAAGUUACGAUUGGACUCGAGCAGCGUAAUUUGUUUGUGUGCGGGGACUUGUGGAAGAAGAUGCACCCUUCCUUAACUGUGAUUUCAGAUGCUACUAAGAAGUUGGUGCUAAAAGAGAUUCAAAGAAUGGUGGAGGCGUGUGCAGGUAAAGAGGAAAUCAUGAUGAGUUACAGUGGCCAGUGCGCGUUGAAUCCAUGGCAUGGAUUCUUUGAGGAUCCCACCUUGAACACGGGCAUUGAUUUUGAUAAUAAAAUCUUUACCUGGCAUUUUGCCACGGAAAUUUUCAUCUAUACCUGGCAUGCAGGUCCCCUUGUGGAGGCAAUCAGGGAGCUGUCUAACUACAUGUUAUUCCUCCUUGUUGAACGGCCUUACAUGCUUCCCAGCCCUGUUCGGCCAGGAUUGUAUGCCACUGCUGAAGUAGGAUAUGUGGGAUUGGGUAAGCCAGGUGCGAAGAAUCUCAUUGAACGCAUCCAAAGAAAGGAGCUUGGCUCUGGAGCUCCGCCUGCCUUAGCCCAUGGAGCAGAGCUUGCCAGAAGGCUGCUAGAUAUGGAGGAGCGGGGCGUGCCGGAGGUGCUGAAGGUGGUACUUGGGGUGUGGGUGGAGAUGUUGUGCUAUGCGUCCCACCACUGCAGCAGGGAUUCCCACGCCAGGCAGCUCAACAGCGGCGGUGAGUUCAUUACCGUCGUGUGGCUUCUAUCAACUGCCAUGUUCAAUCGCAUGUACUGUGGCGAACCAUGGUUUAAGGAGGACGUGGAUAAAUACUUCAGUCCACUAUUCGAGACUAUUCUUCUGUAG
Molecule: ribosomal RNA, 1926 nt
Filed under: Triticum aestivum (bread wheat)
Lineage: Eukaryota; Viridiplantae; Streptophyta; Magnoliopsida; Poales; Poaceae
Description: partial small subunit ribosomal RNA
Source: RNAcentral